UGGAUAUUAAGGGAAAGUUAGUGCAAAGGCAGCACCCCUCUUUUGCUGUCAUUGACAUUUAAACUGUGUGGCAGGUUCUCGCGUGGAAAUUGGCCACCGGAGCCGCCAGGUGCCUCCUCCCUGCCGGCCGCGGCACCGACCGGAGCCUCCGCUCCCGCUGACAGGAUGCGUGCGGCGGGACGCCCGGCCUCGGCCAGCGGCAACUAGGAGGGGAAGGGGACGGCUCGUCGGGAUUCAGGCACCCACCCUGGAGGGCAGGCACACGGGGCACAGGAAUUCAAGAUCACACAACCAGCAGCUUCAGUGGAGAAAAACUAUUUUGCUGGCAACUCUUUUUAAAGCACCAUCAUUUCAAAUCAGUGCGCUCUUAAACUAUUGACAGGAGCUUUGACAACAAGACAGGAUGCCUCAUAAAGGUGAGUCUGUUCAUUU
This 432-nucleotide long non-coding RNA is filed under the name Junco hyemalis (dark-eyed junco). RNAcentral's name for it is "lncRNA (ENSJHYG00000016156.1)". The record is from RNAcentral. Lineage: Eukaryota; Metazoa; Chordata; Aves; Passeriformes; Passerellidae.